Long non-coding RNA from Zingiber officinale, 362 nucleotides. RefSeq lists it as uncharacterized. The transcript is spliced from 4 exons. Lineage: Eukaryota; Viridiplantae; Streptophyta; Magnoliopsida; Zingiberales; Zingiberaceae. The record is from RefSeq and is a predicted model, not a curated record.
AGCCGACUCCUUCCUUUGUCCUAGGUUCCCUCUUGUUGCUGGAUCCGAACCCUAACUCCUCUGGGUUGGGUUGUGGUCAGCCUACCCGACUGCAGCUUCUCCGGAUCUUGGCAGUAAGUUCUAUAGGAUUUGAGCAGUGUUGAGGCAUCAGGGAAUAUGGGUAAGACAUUGUUGGAGAAAGCCCUAAUCACUGUGAUCUUCCUUUUGUGUGAUCCAGAGGAACUUGACGCGAGACAAGUUUCUUAACGUCCGGAUUUGGACUGAUUGGAUCUUUCCUAUUGGAGGCGGGUACCUCUUGACUUAUCUUUUAUGAUAUUGUCAUUGGAUAUGUAUAGUAUUUUAUAACUACAUGCAAUGAACAU